RNAcentral lists this ribosomal RNA (716 nucleotides) under Leptobrachium montanum (mountain spadefoot toad). RNAcentral's name for it is "partial 16S ribosomal RNA". It matches the Rfam family "Bacterial large subunit ribosomal RNA", at positions 1819 to 2925 of the family's 2925-position model. Lineage: Eukaryota; Metazoa; Chordata; Amphibia; Anura; Megophryidae. The record is from RNAcentral.
CGCCUUUUGAAUAUUAUAAAAGGUAACGCCUGCCCAGUGACAUAUGUUCAACGGCCGCGGUAUUCUGACCGUGCGAAGGUAGCGUAAUCAUUUGUCUUUUAAAUAAAGACUUGUAUGAAUGGCAUCACGAGGACUUAACUGUCUCCCUAAUUUAAUCAGUGAAACUGAUCUUCCUGUGAAAAAGCAGGAAUUUUCUCAUAAGACGAGAAGACCCUAUGGAGCUUAAAACUAAAAACUAACUGUAUAAUCUGCCAAAUUAAAUGACACUAACAUACAGGUUUAGCCUAAGUUUUUUGUUGGGGCGACUAUGGAGAAAACCCUAUCCUCCAUGAAAAUAUACUUUGAGUUACCGCUCUUAGUAUUAGCAAGCCUGAAUUUAAUUGAUCCAAUCUUUGAUCAACGGACCAAGUUACCCUAGGGAUAACAGCGCAAUCCAUUUCAAGAGUCCCUAUCGACAAAUGGGUUUACGACCUCGAUGUUGGAUUAGGAUAUCCUAGUGGUGUAGCCGCUACUAAUGGUUCGUUUGUUCAACGAUUAAAGUCCUACGUGAUCUGAGUUCAGACCGGAGCAAUCCAGGUCAGUUUCUAUCUAUGAAUGAACCUUUUCCAGUACGAAAGGACCGAAAAAGUGAAGCCUCUUAAACAUUAAGCUUCAGCUUAACAUUAUUGACACUUCUAAAAUAAAAAUAAGCCAAUAACUUACCCUUAAAUCAAGGC